Molecule: long non-coding RNA, 1829 nt
Organism: Lolium rigidum
Lineage: Eukaryota; Viridiplantae; Streptophyta; Magnoliopsida; Poales; Poaceae
Exons: 2
Source: RefSeq, a predicted model, not a curated record
ACGCAGCCCUUUGAUGAUCAAGUUGCCUGAAUUCUAGGAGUCUGGCUUGCUUAUCCAUUUGAUUUCUUUCGCUCACAAAUGCAUACAUUUUCGCUCCUCAUCCUUGGUUGUAUCCCAUCUUAAUGAAAUAUUUUGUUUUUCUAUGUAUAUGCAGUAUUCCAUAUAUUAUGUUCUUCUGAUCUCAAAUAUGAAUUUUCUUUACUUGAGCUUAUGGACAAUGAUUAUUUUAGCUAAUAAGAUGUUUGUUUCAUUUUUGUAGCAUGGGAUGGAGAACAAUUCUACCACAUGGGCAUGCAAUGGAAAAUAAUAGCUGCUACAAUAUCUUCCUCUUUUGUUCGAAUUUAGGAGGGCUUUUCGAUAAUUUUGUUUGAUGGCUUUGUCUUAACAAUGUUGUUUGAUUGAUAAUUUUAGGCCAUGGUCUUCUUAUCAAUAUGAGUGUUGUAAAUAAUAUAUUGGGAUGGUUGUAGCUCUGAAUUUCAUUGCAGGCACUAACUACUUGAUGUUUACUAAUAGUAGAGAUGGAGUUUGAAAUUAUUUCGAGUAACGAGAAACAUGUUUUCAGAUAUUGCAAUGAUACCAAGAAAAGGGAAAUUCAAGUCCAUCUAUUACAGUAGCCAAAAAGGCUAUAGUACCACCCAUUGAAACAAGAAGGCAUCCAACAAACUAUUCAGCUCUAUUUUCACAUGAUCCUGUCUGGUUUUGCUAAUUUGUUGCCUAUUUUCACAUCUGUUGCUAAUUUGUUAUGUUUUGUUCAUCUCUGCUAGAGAGGGAGAUGGGAAGGGAAUAAAGAAAUGGUGAGGGAGGUUGAGGAGACAACGGAUGAACAUCAAUCUACAAUAAUCUGGUAUAGAAUCUUGAUAUUAUAUAUGUUGAUUCCAAUCUUUUGACCUGAUGUGGUUUCUUGUUUACUGUACCGAAUAAGAAAACUGAUGGUAACAUACCUGUUGUUUCAUAUAUUUUGUCCGAACUGAUCUUGUGUCUUGUUACUGUCUAAUUCUGAUGUAGUAAGUUGUAUGUCGCUAACUGGCCUUCUUUACUUUUUGGUUCAAUCGGUUGGCUUAAAUGUUGGCUGGAGUGUGGAUAUUCUAAUUGAUGGAUUUGUCCCUCCGGCUGGCAGUUGUCGCUCAUAUGCUUACUUUAGCGCGACUUCUACGACCAUUUUUCCCUCUCCUCCAGCUACUGAACAUUUUUUCUUCUGAUCAGCUCUCUGUUGCAUACCAGUUAGUAAAUUGCCUGUUAUUGUAUCCACAAUUGAGCUUUCUUAAUAAUCUGGUAUCUGGUCUCUUAUGUUUUAAGCCAUUAUUGUCAGCUAAUUAUUUUGAGAGAUAAAAGUUAUUAUUUUGGUCCUACUAAGCACCACAUUAUUUCUCUGGAUGUCAUCCACAUGAAUAUAAUGUGCUUGAUUUUAAUAAUACUAUGGGUUUUCUUUUCGGUAAUUCGUCAAGCGAAACAAUGUUUUAUUCUUUUAUUUCUAAUUUCAUCAAAAUGUUUUCAAAAAUAUUAUAUAAUUAUGUGCUCUGAUUCUUGGCAGGCUGUUCCCACAAGAACGCUGACACUGGUCAUCUAAAUUUCUUUUAAUUAUUUUGCAGCUUGGAGAAGCAUGAAAUGAUGCUAUCAAGCACUCCUUUUUAGUUUGGCCUUUCUGUCGUCAUUGUGAAGAUCAUUUAACAUGGAGAAGAACAAAAGUAAUGAUAAAGGUUAAGUUUGUCCUUUAGUGGAGAGCACUUUAGAAACAUACUUGAGAACUAUUAUAUUCCUACAUCAUACUAUAGUAUCAUUGUAUUUAUGAAUUUUCAGCUGAAUAUCUGAUUAGUUUGAUGUUACACUCA